Calypte anna (Anna's hummingbird) is the source of this 230-nucleotide long non-coding RNA. RefSeq lists it as uncharacterized. The transcript is spliced from 4 exons. Lineage: Eukaryota; Metazoa; Chordata; Aves; Apodiformes; Trochilidae. The record is from RefSeq and is a predicted model, not a curated record.
ACAGUGGCCUGGUUGUUGUUGGGGGCAAUAUCUCAGUGUGUGCCUUUUGCUUUGACUUUUGCAGGUGUUGCACACAGUGCUGGAGUGACAAAGCCAUGUCUUGAGGAGCAUGUGGAGAAGGUGCUGUGCAUGCCACCUUUGGAACCAGAUGAGCAUUGAAUGUGCCCAAAGCAGUGGUGGCCACAGCAUUCAACUCUGGAUCAAGGAGGUGAUGAAGAGGAACAUGCCUG